RNAcentral lists this ribosomal RNA (432 nucleotides) under uncultured bacterium. RNAcentral's name for it is "partial 16S ribosomal RNA". It matches the Rfam family "Bacterial small subunit ribosomal RNA", at positions 29 to 506 of the family's 1533-position model. The record is from RNAcentral.
AACGAACGCUGGCGGCAUGCCUAACACAUGCAAGUCGAACGAGCCCUUCGGGGUUAGUGGCGCACGGGUGCGUAACGCGUGGGAAUCUGCCCUUGGGUUCGGAAUAACAGUGAGAAAUUACUGCUAAUACCGGAUGAUGUCUUCGGACCAAAGAUUUAUCGCCCAAGGAUGAGCCCGCGUAGGAUUAGCUAGUUGGUGGGGUAAUGGCCUACCAAGGCGACGAUCCUUAGCUGGUCUGAGAGGAUGAUCAGCCACACUGGGACUGAGACACGGCCCAGACUCCUACGGGAGGCAGCAGUGGGGAAUAUGGGACAAUGGGCGAAAGCCUGAUCCAGCAAUGCCGCGUGAGUGAUGAAGGCCUUAGGGUUGUAAAGCUCUUUUACCCGGGAUGAUAAUGACAGUACCGGGAGAAUAAGCUCCGGCUAACUCCGU